This 253-nucleotide ribosomal RNA is filed under the name uncultured bacterium. Its description in RNAcentral is "partial 16S ribosomal RNA". It matches the Rfam family "Bacterial small subunit ribosomal RNA", at positions 524 to 776 of the family's 1533-position model. The record is from RNAcentral.
UACGUAGGGUGCGAGCGUUAAUCGGAAUUACUGGGCGUAAAGCGUGCGCAGGCGGUUUUGCAAGCCGGAUGUGAAAUCCCCGGGCUUAACCUGGGAAUGGCAUUUGGGACUGCAAGGCUGGAGUGCGGCAGAGGAGACUGGAAUUCCUGGUGUAGCAGUGAAAUGCGUAGAUAUCAGGAGGAACACCGAUGGCGAAGGCAGGUCUCUGGGCUGACGCUGACGCUCAUGCACGAAAGCGUGGGGAGCAAACAGG